Molecule: ribosomal RNA, 253 nt
Filed under: uncultured bacterium
Lineage: Bacteria
Description: partial 16S ribosomal RNA
Rfam family: Bacterial small subunit ribosomal RNA
Source: RNAcentral
UACGAAGGGAGCUAGCGUUGUUCGGAAUCAUUGGGCGUAAAGCGCACGUAGGCGGAUUUGCCAGUCAGGGGUGAAAUCCCGGGGCUCAACCUCGGAACUGCCUUUGAUACAGCAAGUCUUGAGUUCGAGAGAGGUGAGUGGAAUUCCUAGUGUAGAGGUGAAAUUCGUAGAUAUUAGGAAGAACACCGGUGGCGAAGGCGGCCCACUGGCUCGACACUGACGCUGAGGUGCGAAAGCGUGGGGAGCAAACAGG